CAGGGAUUGCCUCAGUAACGGCGAGUGAAGCGGCAACAGCUCAAAUUUGAAAUCUGACCCCCUUGGGGCCCGAGUUGUAAUUUGUAGAGGGUGUUUCGGGCGCGGCGCCGGUCUAAGUUCCUUGGAACAGGACGUCACAGAGGGUGAGAAUCCCGUACGUGACCGGCGAUCAAGCCCAUGUGAAGCCCCUUCGACGAGUCGAGUUGUUUGGGAAUGCAGCUCAAAAUGGGUGGUAAAUUUCAUCUAAAGCUAAAUAUUGGCCAGAGACCGAUAGCGGACAAGUAGAGUGAUCGAAAGAUGAAAAGCACUUUGGAAAGAGAGUCAAACAGUACGUGAAAUUGUUGAAAGGGAAGCGCUUGCAAUCAGACCGGUCCGGGGGCGAUCAGCCGCUGCUCGUCAGCGGUGCACUCGCCCUCGAUCCGGCCAGCAUCGGUUUGGGCGGCGGGAGAAAAGUCCCGGGAAUGUAGCUUCCUUCGGGGAGUCUUAUAGCCCGGGUCGGCAUGCCGCCCGCCUGGACCGAGGACCGCGCUUCGGCUAGGAUGCUGGCGUAAUGGUUGCAAGCGACCCGUCUUGAAACACGGACCAAGGAGUCUAACAUCUAUGCGAGUGUUUGGGUGUCAAACCCGGGCGCGGAAUGAAAGUGAACGGAGGUGGGAACCCGUCAGACGGCGCACCAUCGACCGAUCCAGAUGUCUUCGGAUGGAUUUGAGUACGAGCAUAGCUGUUGGGACCCGAAAGAUGGUGAACUAUGCCCGGAUAGGGUGAAGCCAGAGGAAACUCUGGUGGAGGCUCGCAGCGGUUCUGACGUGCAAAUCGAUCGUCAAAUCUAGGCAUAGGGGCGAAAGACCAAUCGAACCAUCUAG
Molecule: ribosomal RNA, 863 nt
Filed under: Pseudocyphellaria perpetua
Lineage: Eukaryota; Fungi; Ascomycota; Lecanoromycetes; Peltigerales; Lobariaceae
Description: LSU rRNA
Rfam family: Eukaryotic large subunit ribosomal RNA
Source: RNAcentral